AUGAGCCCAAAGGAGCAUGGUAUAUUGAAGGAGAAAGUGGAGGAAUUGCUGCAAAAGGGGCAUAUGCGAGAAAGUAUUAGCCCAUGUGCUGUACCAGCCCUGCUCGUGCCUAAGAAAGAUGGAUCUUGGCGCAUGUGUACGGACAGUAGAGCCGUUAACAAGAUCACCGUAAGGUAUAGAUUCCCUAUUCCCCGUCUGGAUGAUAUGUUGGAUCAGCUUAGUGGAGCAAGAGUGUUCACAAAGCUAGAUUUAAGAAGUGGAUAUCAUCAAAUCCGUAUAAGACCCGGGGAUGAAUGGAAGACCGCCUUCAAGACAAAGGAAGGGUUGUUUGAAUAG
Molecule: ribosomal RNA, 336 nt
Filed under: Triticum aestivum (bread wheat)
Lineage: Eukaryota; Viridiplantae; Streptophyta; Magnoliopsida; Poales; Poaceae
Description: partial small subunit ribosomal RNA
Source: RNAcentral